UUGUGGUCAUUCACCGUUGGAAGUAAAUUCAACGAUUUACUCACUCUUGCACUCUUUUUAAGAAACUUUUUUGAACCAUUGGAUUAUUAUCCAACGAUGGGUGACCACAA
RNAcentral lists this microRNA precursor (110 nucleotides) under Prunus persica (peach). RNAcentral describes it as "miR8132 stem-loop (ppe-MIR8132)". Lineage: Eukaryota; Viridiplantae; Streptophyta; Magnoliopsida; Rosales; Rosaceae. The record is from miRBase by way of RNAcentral.